This 356-nucleotide ribosomal RNA is filed under the name uncultured bacterium. RNAcentral describes it as "partial 16S ribosomal RNA". It matches the Rfam family "Bacterial small subunit ribosomal RNA", at positions 338 to 691 of the family's 1533-position model. The record is from RNAcentral.
CCUACGGGAGGCAGCAGUGAGGAAUAUUGGUCAAUGGCCGGAAGGCUGAACCAGCCAUGCCGCGUGAAGGGCAGGGCCCUAGGGGCGUUAAACUUCUUUUGUGCGGGAGCAAUAAUGGUCACGUGUGGCCAGACGAGAGUACCGGACGAAGAAGCAGCGGCUAACUCCGUGCCAGCAGCCGCGGUAAUACGGGGGAUGCAAGCGUGAGCCGGAUUUAGUGGGGUUCAAGGGUGCGUAGGCUGUGAGGUAAGGCAGCGGUGAAAUGCCCCCGCUCCACGGGGUGAAGUGCCAUUGAUACUGCCUUGCUGGACUGCGGAUGCCUUGGGAGGACUGUUUGGUGUAGCGGUGAAAUGCAU